Molecule: long non-coding RNA, 2595 nt
Organism: Triticum aestivum (bread wheat)
Lineage: Eukaryota; Viridiplantae; Streptophyta; Magnoliopsida; Poales; Poaceae
Exons: 4
Source: RefSeq, a predicted model, not a curated record
AAUAAAUAGAACCGGCAGCUGAGCCCUAGCGUCGGCCUGGCGCGCGAGCCUGCCUUCCCUCGGCCUGGGCCGCCUCCUCUUUGGCCCAAAAGGCCUGCUGUGCCGGCGCUGCUCUAGGGUUUAGAUCUGGCCCGUCCGUGGGAUCCUACGGCCACGCGCGCGUUGCGGGCGAACAAAAACGACCGAACGGCAGGGGCGAGGGGAAACCAUAUCCUUUUCCUCCCCUCGCGCGCCGCUCGUCUCUGUCCCGCAGCGGGGAGUUCGGGCUGCGCCGGCCGCCGGCGACGGCGACGAACCACCGCGCCGGCCAGCGUCUUUCCCCUGCCCCUCUGCUCCGCUCCAGAUCCUUCCCUUUCCCCUUCUUUCUUCCGCGCCCACCGACGUGCUACCGCGCCGCGGGAGUAGUUUCCUCCUCUCAUCGCUCGCUCUGUCCCGCGGCGGAUCGACUUCUGUGCCGGCGAGCCGGCGACGGCGUCGGACGCGACCGCGCUGCGCCACUCUUUCCCCUUCCCCUUUCUUUUCUCCAGUCCGCCGAGCCACGAAGAGUGAGAGAGCGCGAGCCGAGCCCACCUCUGCUCCCCCUUGGACGACGACGGCGGAGCAUGCGCCGUUGCCUUCCCCUUCGCCGGCCGCGCGUUCGCCUCGCGGUGAGCGCGUUGCCGUCGUACGGAUUGGCCGCGGUGCUCUUUGCCCCUUUCGGGGUAGGUUCUUCGUCCGACGCCUCGGCUUGCCGAUGCGCGGCCGGAUCGAGAGGAAUAGGCGCGGCCAUGACGGCGGCGCUCUUUGCCGGCGGGCCCAAGGCCCUCUCCGGUGAACUUUUUGUUUGCUUUUCUCUGCCCUGAUAGGGUUCUUUGGGGAGGAAAAACUAUCGCUUUGAUUUCUUUCUACCGAAAACAACUAGCCCGAUCUGGCUGAUACCAUUGAUAGAACUUUGGAUCGGAGUAGGCUAGUAGAUCCGGUGAACCUACCUUGUCCAGCAGCGGAUGAACUCGAGCCGGAGGCCAUCGUGAUGCUAGGGCACACGGCGAUGGCAGAGAGUAGGCGACGGUGAUGGAGCUUCCCGUGAGCACCGCGCUAACCCUAAAUCGGUAGGGAUUGUAGGUGGGGAUUGUGACAGCGAUUAACCUCGUGAAUAGUGCCCCGGCCCCCACCUCUGUUUAUAUAGCGCGGGUCACAGGGGCCCACCAACCAUGGUUUGGUUGGGCGCCCCCAAUCAGGGGGCGAGUCAGGGGCCCGUUCGACCCGUUGGGCUCGAACGGGAGAGAGAUCAACCUAACACAGAUAACUCUCGAUCUUCAGUAUGGCGCCUCAAGUUCUGGAACGUAACCCCGCAUCCAAAACGACAUGAUCGCUCGCAUUUAUUUCGCAUGAUCUUUCAAUUCCAGGCCAACGCCUAUAGGUCGCAUGAUCUCCCCCUUCAAAUCUUGGUCGACGUAGAGGGGUUGGGAGGAGGAGGAUACACAGGGAGCGGCAGCGGGCAGGCAAACGGGAGGGCCGCAUCUCGGAGCUCCCCGACGCGUAGCGCCGUAGAUUCUGAGCCUGCUGCUGCUCAAGUCAGCCAUCCACGCCGGCGCACUGUCCUUACGGUGGUGCGACCUCCUCCUCACUCCGCUACAGAUUCCCGUCGGGCGUGUAGGGGACGGUGGAGACGGAGGACCAGUUUGCAGCCAUCCUCUCGGUGAUGCGGUGCUGGAUGGUAUGCACUUCGAUACAGAGGGCGAGGCAGGUUGCGGGAGGCAAGACGUACAUGCUCACCGUGGCUCUGCAAUGCCCGUUCCCCAAACGUGUCCCUCUCUGUGCUUGGCAUGGGUUGUGGGUAUAGUAACAGUUCUACAACAUCCUGCCAUGGCAAUCCGCAUCUGGAGAUGUGAGCACAACAGUGGACGGUGCCUUGCCGUCAGGGACCGUUUACCCAGGCCUGCCGGCCAAGUUGGAUGUGCUACGGACAGUGGGUUCGUCGAAGCGAAAACUUUCCUGUAGCAGGUGCUGCAGAGCUGCCGGUGGAAGGCGUGGACAAUUAAGACGGGGUCAUGUGUGGAGCCGCUUCAACGACAUGGACUUUGGCAUUAGUGUGAAGUUGCAGCGCAACUAGCAAAACUGGAACAGAACAUACAGAUGACAUAUUUGUAUUGUUAAACCAGCCUCUAACUUACUCCAUACAAUGUUAGGGCACACACAGCCUGACUCAAGAAUUUGCUACUUUUGGCAACCCGAUCAAGGUUCUGGCAAAAGCCCUCUACGUGCGUGUCUUUGCAAUUCAUAUCACCGAAGCGCAACUGGAGAUGUGACUGAUGGAGGAGCGCCUGCUACAACUUGUGCUAGAAUGCUAUUCCUUUGUUGAUGUUUUUUGAGAUAGCUACCCACUUAUUUCAAGUGGUAUUCCUUUGUUUGAUAGAGAUGAGAGGCAAGGAAAGAGACACGGGUGAGAGUGCAAGAGAGAAUGUAUGGUUUUAUUUCUUACGUGUCUAGUGUACAAUGUACAGAUAUAACUCACGAUAGUGCAGCCGUUUGAUAGAUAUAUAUACAACAUGACCGACUGUGAGACGGCUUUGGGCGCUCCAAACCCCUUGGAUACAUGUUCACAAGAGCCAAUAA